RNAcentral lists this non-coding RNA (27 nucleotides) under Homo sapiens (human). Lineage: Eukaryota; Metazoa; Chordata; Mammalia; Primates; Hominidae. The record is from RNAcentral.
UAAGUGUCAAGAACACUGGGAGCCAAU